This 622-nucleotide long non-coding RNA is filed under the name Chrysemys picta bellii (western painted turtle). RNAcentral describes it as "lncRNA (ENSCPBG00000019659.1)". The record is from RNAcentral. Lineage: Eukaryota; Metazoa; Chordata; Testudines; Emydidae.
AAAGAGUGUCGGGGACGGGAGCGGAGAGACACGGAAAAGGUCAAACUAAAGGCGAGGAGGAGAGGCGGCUGGAGUGGCGGGGGGCCCGGAGCGGGGCUCGAGCCGGCCGCCCCACGGCACUCGGGGCGUCCCCCGGCCAGACGGGCCGGGCCCGGCCCAGCCCCGCUCGCGGGAGGAGCCGGAGCCCCCAUCCCGUCACAGUCAUGCUUCCAGGAAAUCUAUGCUGAGUGACAAAUUCUCAUGUAGCGGAUGGAUUUGAAAAGAGACAACACUCCUGUUUAGUCCUAAUCUGUUCCAUUGCACUAUUUGCAAGGUGCUAUACUCGAGUAUUUAAGGUACCACAACUUCAAGGGCAUCCCGUGUGCUGAAUCACAUUCCUUCCAGCUCCCUCUGGUUGUCAGUGGACAAGCCCAGCUUGACAUUAUUCCAUAUCUUACAUCGACUUCCAUCAGCAACACAACAAAGUACUCCUGCCCAUACUGUCAGCCUGCUAACGUUAGUGGACCAUCCAGAUAUCUAGAAUCAUGCAGGAAAAGUUGUACAGCAGAAUGGUCUAGCGACUCUUAUCACCAUCCAGACUGAGGACAAUAAAUAUGAAUGUAAUGUGAGAAGUCGGUGAUGG